ACAGAGGGUGCAAGCGUUAACCGGAGUUACUGGGCGUAAAGGGCGCGUAGGCUGGUAUUUAAGUCAAUUGUGAAAUCCCACGGCUUAACCUAGGAAUUGCAGCGGAUACUGAAUAUCUUGAGUACGGUAGAGGAAAGUGGAAUUCCCGGUGUAGUGGUUAAAUACGUAGAUAUCGGGAAGAACACCGGUGGCGAAGGCGGCUUUCUGGACCGAUACUGACGCUGAGGCGCGAAAGCGUGGGGAGCAAACAG
This 251-nucleotide ribosomal RNA is filed under the name uncultured prokaryote. RNAcentral's name for it is "partial 16S rRNA". It matches the Rfam family "Bacterial small subunit ribosomal RNA", at positions 525 to 775 of the family's 1533-position model. The record is from RNAcentral.